Molecule: non-coding RNA, 773 nt
Filed under: Pollicipes polymerus
Lineage: Eukaryota; Metazoa; Arthropoda; Thecostraca; Pollicipedomorpha; Pollicipedidae
Description: small subunit ribosomal RNA
Rfam family: Microsporidia small subunit ribosomal RNA (bases 384-772)
Source: RNAcentral
AAAAAUUAAUUUCUAUUAUUUCAAAAGAUCGUUUAGGUCCGUGUUGUCAUUUUAGCUUAAUUUUAAUUUUACAUGUAAACUAUAGUCUGUAUUAAUGAAAAAAAAUAUAAUUUUUUAUGGUAAACCUCAGUAAAAGAUGUUAGUUAUAAAUAAAAGUUUUAACUAGUUAAUAAAAAAGUGUUGGAAAAUAGCGUGCCAGCAGCCGCGGUUAUACGUGAAACACAAGUUAAAAUAUUUUUAUGGGAUUUUAUCUAGUUUUUGUGUGAUCUAGCUAAAAUUACUAAGUAGAAUUUUAAUUUUUGAAAGUAAACACUCUCUAAAAUAAAUUAAAGGCGUUUUGAACUAGGAUUAGAUACCCUACUACUCGCUUAUAAAAUUUCCCAGAACAUUAAUCUUUAUGAAAUUUAACGGAUUUGGCGGCGAGAUAGCCCAUUAGAGGAACCUGCCCUGUUAACGAUGGUCCGCGAUAAAACUUACUAUAUUUUGAAACCAGUUUGUAUACCGCUGUUGCCAGUUAGUUCUAGUAGGAAACUUUCGGGAGAUGGUGAGACCAUAAACUUCAAGUAAAGGUGCAGCUUAUAAUAUAGAAAGAGGUGGGUUACAUUUAUUGGAUUAAAAACGGAAAGUCUUCUGAAAAACGACUGGAAGGUGGAUUUAAUAGUAAAUUCUUGAGGAAUUGAUUAGAGCUCUAUCUUGUGUACACACCGCCCGUCGCUCUCAUUACUAUUUGAGAUAAGUCGUAACAAGGUAAGUGUAAUGGAAAUUGUACUUGA